CACCGCGGUUAUACGAAAGACUCAAGUUGACAGUCAUCGGCGUAAAGCGUGGUUAAAACAUAUUCCUCAAACUAAAGCCGAAAGCCUUCAGAGCAGUUAUACGCUUCCGAAAGUAAGAAGCCCUUUCACGAAAGUAGCUUUAUAGUAUUUUGACGCCACGAAAACUGGGACA
Molecule: ribosomal RNA, 172 nt
Filed under: Parascolopsis tosensis (yellowstripe monocle bream)
Lineage: Eukaryota; Metazoa; Chordata; Actinopteri; Spariformes; Nemipteridae
Description: partial 12S rRNA
Source: RNAcentral